This 410-nucleotide ribosomal RNA is filed under the name uncultured Gammaproteobacteria bacterium. RNAcentral's name for it is "bacterial SSU rRNA". It matches the Rfam family "Bacterial small subunit ribosomal RNA", at positions 9 to 423 of the family's 1533-position model. Lineage: Bacteria; Pseudomonadati; Pseudomonadota; Gammaproteobacteria. The record is from RNAcentral.
GAGUUUGAUCGUGGCUCAGAUUGAACGCUGGCGGCAGGCCUAACACAUGCAAGUCGAGCGUGAAAGGGCUUCGGCCUGAGUAAAGCGGCGGACGGGUGAGUAACGCGUAGGAAUCUACCUAGUAGUGGGGGAUAACGUUCCGAAAGGAACGCUAAUACCGCAUACGUUCUGAGGAAGAAAGCAGGGGGAUCGCAAGACCUUGCGCUAUUAGAUGAGCCUGCGUCCGAUUAGCUAGUUGGUGGGGUAAAGGCCUACCAAGGCGACGAUCGGUAACUGGUCUGAGAGGAUGAUCAGUCACACUGGAACUGAGACACGGUCCAGACUCCUACGGGAGGCAGCAGUGGGGAAUAUUGGACAAUAGGCGCAAGCCUGAUCCAGCCAUGCCGCGUGUGUGAAGAAGGCCUUCGGUU